RNAcentral lists this ribosomal RNA (364 nucleotides) under uncultured soil bacterium. RNAcentral describes it as "bacterial SSU rRNA". It matches the Rfam family "Bacterial small subunit ribosomal RNA", at positions 26 to 366 of the family's 1533-position model. The record is from RNAcentral.
AGGACGAACGCUGGCGGCGUGCUUAACACAUGCAAGUCGAGCGGUAAGGCCUUUCGGGGUACACGAGCGGCGAACGGGUGAGUAACACGUGGGUGAUCUGCCCUGCACUCUGGGAUAAGCCUGGGAAACUGGGUCUAAUACCGGAUAUGACCUGCUCUCGCAUGGGGGUGGGUGGAAAGAUUUAUCGGUGCAGGAUGGGCCCGCGGCCUAACUCGAGUCGUUGGUUGGGUAGGGUAAGUCGGACCUACCGAAGGCCGACGGACGGGUACGCCCGACCGUGAGGAGGGUCGGACCCGGCCAACACGUGGGACUGAGACCGACCGGCCAGACCUACCGUACGGGAGCAGCAGGGUAGGGAAUUAGU